GGAGAAGAAAAUCGUUUAUACCCCGAAGUGGAGACUGGAGAUGGCAGAUCGGAAAGACACCCAGAAGAAAAGAAUGGCUGUCUUUGCCAUGAGUUCUCCCUCUCCAGUCCUGCCUUCGUUUUGUGUUUCGUUACCUUCAUCAACUAAGGCUUUUGCUACUUUUCCAGUUUCCAGGUUGCACUUGAAAUCCAUCUAUGUGCUCUCGAAAUCCUUCGGUGGAAUUUCCUUUGCGACAGUGAGAAGUGGUACGAUGACUGUUAAGGCAUCAAUGGAUAUUAGGGGGACAGGUCCGGACGCUGGGGAGUCUGUGUCAGAAAGUGAUGAUGAAGAGAAUUUGCUGUUUGAGAAACUUCCUCUUGAUGCAAAGCUACAACAGAAGCUCGAGCAGAAGUUUAGGAUGAAAUUGGCAAAGAAGAUAAGGCUUCGGAGAAAGAAACUUGUUCGUAAGCGGAGGAUGAGGAAAAAGGGACAAUGGCCUCCUUCAAAGGCAAACAAGGUGAAGAAUGUCUGAUUUCGUGUCCUCUUGUAGUAACUAGUGAGAAAGAAAGCUGAGAGAGGAGGAAUCAGAGUUCUGAUUGCGCGAACCGCUGCUUGGAUCUCCAAUUUUUUAGCAAUCUGAGAGUUUGUUACUGCAAAAUGAAGAAUAGAGGAGUCUGUUUCAAUAAUGAAAAAGGAAGCAUUCAUGGAUCGUGCCAACUUUAAGGCUCAAGGCAUUGGCUUCGCCUGGAUUUUUCAUUAUUCGUAGACGUCUUUUCAAUUAAUAUAAAUGGGCGGAUGAAUCAGAUAC
RNAcentral lists this unclassified non-coding RNA (787 nucleotides) under Hevea brasiliensis (rubber tree). The record is from RNAcentral. Lineage: Eukaryota; Viridiplantae; Streptophyta; Magnoliopsida; Malpighiales; Euphorbiaceae.